UCUGUACAGGCUGUGCACUCCGUGGAAGAGGAUGACCUUCCCUCACAGAGGAGGAUGGUUCUUUAGUGAAGGGUAUACAAGUUGCUGUGCUCCUCUGCUUGAAACUUCAAACAAGCUCCCAUUUGCACAUUUAGUAGUUAGU
RNAcentral lists this small RNA (142 nucleotides) under Tursiops truncatus (common bottlenose dolphin). Its description in RNAcentral is "7SK RNA (ENSTTRG00000024941.1)". It matches the Rfam family "7SK RNA", at positions 120 to 260 of the family's 331-position model. From Rfam's summary of the family: 7SK was discovered as an abundant small nuclear RNA in the mid-70s but a possible function has only recently been suggested. Two independent studies have found that 7SK RNA binds the CDK9/cyclin T complex (known as elongation factor P-TEFb). Lineage: Eukaryota; Metazoa; Chordata; Mammalia; Artiodactyla; Delphinidae. The record is from RNAcentral.